This is a long non-coding RNA of Mauremys mutica (yellowpond turtle), 892 nucleotides long. RefSeq lists it as uncharacterized. The transcript is spliced from 3 exons. NCBI's taxonomy places the organism in Eukaryota, Metazoa, Chordata, Testudines, Geoemydidae. The record is from RefSeq and is a predicted model, not a curated record.
UAUGUAUGUGUGCUGGAAAUAUAUUCUUAAAAUAUGUUUCGGAGGCAGUGCAUAAAUUAAAUCUGCCCUCAAAAAAGGAACAUGGAUUUACCUGGCUGAGUAGCUUGAUUAUAGGCAGAGGACACUGAGGUACAUUUACACAUAAGGUAAUCAAAGCCAUCAAGCUAACAAACUGUGGAGGAAACAAUUUAGUGACAACACUGGUGAUCUGAAUUUGCACCCCCAGGAAGUCUUUUUGGCUCUUGAGACAAAGACAAUGGACUUUGCAGGGGAAAAGAGAGCAAAAAGACAUGCUAGUGAUCCAUCACUUAGGAAACCAAGGGAGCAGCACCCUCAGAUUCUGUGAACGUUGGAUCCCAUGGCUUGGAGCAGUAGAGUUGCCGAUAUCUUGAUGUAAGUGAGAAAACUGCUCAGGCACAGAUUGCAACUUGCUAAAACUGUGACACUCUGGCUACCUUAUCCAGACCUGAAGAAUUGCCCUGUGGUGCUCGAAAGCUUCUCUCUUCCACCAACAGAAGGUGGCCCAAUAACAGAUAUUACCUCACCCAUCCUGUCUUUCUCAUAGCUUCAUACCAACAUGGCUACAACAAUGCUGCAAACUCCUAAAUGAGGACAUUUGUCAUGUCCAGAUUCAGCAAAGCACUGAAGCACAUGCUUAAGGCUAACAGAAAUGGAGGUAGGGAAUCGAGGAUGGCUCUCUGACUAGCAGGUGUUCCAGAGCUGCUGGAACAGCAGUGCCUUAUGCAGCCGGAGGUCAUGUAAACCACCAUCAUCCUGAAUCAUCCAGUUGCCCCGGCGAACAUAAUGGUGAAGGAACAAAUGUACCUGGAGCAAUAACUGACCAGUCCAAGCUUGCAAGUUUGUUCUCCGUUAAGCAGAACAAAUGGGAUUG